This 2137-nucleotide long non-coding RNA is filed under the name Mustela putorius furo (domestic ferret). Its description in RNAcentral is "lncRNA (ENSMPUG00000028481.1)". The record is from RNAcentral. Lineage: Eukaryota; Metazoa; Chordata; Mammalia; Carnivora; Mustelidae.
CUAGGACAUGGUUCACUAUUUUUCAAUUAAAAUGAAGAAAUACCGUGUUUGUUGCAGGUUCACUUCAAGCAGUUGGCGUGUGGGACUCUGAGAGAUGCUGCUGCCCGUGACAUGUUGGGAUUACCAUGAUCAACGACCCAGUUUGGAUUUCACCCAGUGGCCAGGAGCUUUGCAUGGUGGACAGCAAGGGUUGGAUUUUUAAAAAGAGUAAACCAGAUUUGAUUUAUUUGACAGACCCAAGAGAGCACAAGGUGAGGGAAUGGCAGAGGGAAAAGAAGCAGUCUUCCUGCUGAACAGGGAGCCUGAUGUGGGACUGAAUCCCAGGACCUCAGAAUCAUGACCUGAAACAAAGGCAGAUGCUUAUCUAACUGAGCCACCCAGGCAUCUCUGCAAAUAACUCUUUUAAGAAAAUCUCCAUAAUGGCCUGGCUGGCUCAGUCAGUAGAGUAUAUGACUCUUAAGGUCAGGUUUCUAAGUUUGAGCCCCAUGUUGGAUGUAGAGAUUACUUAAAAAUAAAAUCUGAAAAAAAAAAGAAAGAAAAUCUCCAUCAUUCAUAUAUGUAUACAUGUAUAUAUAUAUAUACACGUGUCUGUGUGUGUGUGUGUGUGUGUGUGUGUGUGUGUAUUCCUGAUGACAUAGAGAUGAAGACUGACUGGAAACAACAGAGAUAAAAAAAUUUGAAUUGAAAAAUAAGUCAGCAAAGUUGGAUGCUAAUGAACAUAGACUUGUGGAAAACCUUAACCAAUGUAUGUGGCUUAUACUUUUUAUGUAGAAACCAGAGGAUAAUUUUUUAAAACUGUGUUCUAGUUAUUGAUGUUAUUAAGACUGAAAGGGUUAAUUCCCACCCACCAUUAAAUCAAUUACAGAAACUGGGAGCCAGGAGAGGGCAGCAGAGAACUAACCUAAAGAGUUUUGUUUUGCCUCCAUAAAGGGCACUUCACUUCUGUGAACAGUUCACGUAUAUGCCCUUAAGGCAGCCCCACAACAAAACUGGGGCAGGCCAGUUAUUUCUAGCCUCAUUCAGUGGACAGGGAAACAGACUUGGGGUAAGGAAGUGAGGAGAUGGAGGAAGUCCCGCUAAGGGAUGGUCUUUCCCUUCAUCUAAGAAGGAGAGUUGGACUUAUAUGCAUUCCUCUCCUUCAAAUUAUGGCAAAACCUUUGAGAAGUCUGGCGGGUGGUCAGGAGGUGAAUUAGAGAUGGGCUCUGUUGAGAUCCCGAUCCGAUAAGCUCCUGAGCAGGGUGUGUGGUAAAGAUGUCAUGAAUCAGGAUGAAGAUGUGAUCUAAGCAAUCAAACGGAAGAUGGAGGGAACUUAAGUAAACACCAAGCUAAUCCGUGAUCACUAAGCGAGCAGGAGACAAGUCUGAACUGAAUUCAAUUUGGGCCCAUGAGGAACCCCCGGAUGGCAUGUUGUGCUAGGAGUGGCUUAAAAGCCCCAGAAGUACAGGGAGUGUCUCAGUCCCCUGCCCUCUCUGGUCUUUACAAGGCUUAGCUUCAAAUAUAUUGAAAAACAGAAAAGCUCCUGGCCCCUAGGCAAUAUCUGAGGCUGACUCCAGGGUAUUGGGUACUGGUGAAGAUAUAAGUGAAAUGAACUAAAGAUAUUGGCAGUGUUUCUACCUCCCUUCUUAGCAAUUAAAACAAAACAAAACAAAGAAAAAAAGAAAAUCCGAGGGAGGAUUUCUCCUUCAUUUACUGAGUAGUUAUAGUCUAAAACUCAAGUCAGGAAAUGGAAUAUUUUGAAGCCCUACUGGGAAGGCAUAAAUGAUUCUUCACUCCAAAGAAAUUGGAGGCCUUUUGGCCUGAUAGGUGUAGUCUGGGUGAAGUAUUACUUUGUGUUGUCAAGAUUCAUUUCUUGGCUGAGCAGUCACUUCACAAAGUAAGCUCCGUGGUUGGGAUUUUUGAAGGCUUUUCCUCCUGCUGAAGCUCAGAGAUGGGGAAUGUUCAGAGAAACACAGGUACAAAAAUAUUCUCCUGAUGGCCUCAUCUUGGGAACAUCCCUGAAGAGGAAGGCAGGGAGGUGUGGCUACAGCUGUGUUUUCUUCGGGAAGGUGGCUCUCAAAAUGCAGAAAUGAAGCUUCCAUACUCCAUCUAUAGUGCAUGCAAGACAGCAACAGCAAAUGUCAGUAAAUAAAAAUGUUAC